Molecule: long non-coding RNA, 2341 nt
Filed under: Homo sapiens (human)
Lineage: Eukaryota; Metazoa; Chordata; Mammalia; Primates; Hominidae
Description: long intergenic non-protein coding RNA 2910, transcript variant 3 (LINC02910)
Source: RNAcentral
AUAUCCUGCCUGAGCCUGGGCCGGGUGGAGGUGUCCUGCAUGGAGUCUUGUGAAAUCGCGUGGACUGCAACACCCAGCAGCGCGCCGCCCUGGGUCCUGCCACUGAGCAGCUGUUGGUAGGCUCUGCUGUGAGGUCUCCUCUUCCGGCUUUCCCACUUCCCAAGUGUUGGUUAAGGAAUCCAGAUGUUACUGCAAUAACCACUCCAUAAACAAAAGGAACACCCAGCUGUGAGAACUGGCUUCUCAGCAUUCGUCCCAGCAGAGGCUCUUCUGGGGCCAGCCCUGGAAGAACCCAUCAGGGUUCUGAUGGUUGCCCUGUUUCAGCACAGCCCUUAUUGGCAGGCAGACGGCUACGGGCACAGCCACAGGCUGAAGCAGGUAUUUACCAAGCAGGGACUUUGGGCCAGGUCCGUGCUAGGCUCUGCAGGUGGACCAGCCAGCCCUGACCUCCAUGGUGUCUCUUCUCAUGGGAGAGGCUGCACAGCAGUCAUUGAGAAAACGAAGAAACACACAGGUACUUUCAGAUGCUGAUAAUGACUACCAUGUGCUAAAAGAGCUCCAGGUGUUGUCUGUUUUGAGACAAUCUUCUCGACAAUGAGAUAGAAUGAACCAUGCAAACUUUGGGGGCUACGAUGGUUUUAGGAAAGAGCUAGAGUGAAAAAUCCUUUGACAUAUAUACAUACAAAUAAAGAUACAUGUGUAUAAUUUUAUGUAAUUGACAUCACAUUAUAUGCUGGCACCUGCCUUUUUUGCUUAAUGAAAAUGUCAAAGGUAAUAUUACCAAUCAAUCAAUAUAUUUCACCAUCGUGUUUAAUUUCUGCAGAGCACUUAUUCAAGCACAUACUGCAUUUUUCUUAGUCACUCACUGGUGGGAAUAGAAAGUUUUCUCAGGCAUGCAUUUUUCCCACUUCUGAAAUGAUCUCCUUAGAAUAAAUUCCCCAAAUUGUAUUGCUGGGUUCAAAGGCAUGAACAUUUUACAUUUUUAUACAAUAAUGUCAAACUACCUUCCGGAAAUGAUGCUCACUUUACUUUCCCUCCAAGACUGUGUGAAAAUGCCCAUUUUCCUAAAUGCUUACUAUGACUGGUUUCCAACUACAUUUUAAUUCUUGUUCAAUCUGAUAGGCAAAAAAUGAUAUUUAAUUUUUAUUUGAUUGAUAAUGACCUUGAACGUGCCCAUUAGCCUUUUGCAUGUAUUCUUUUAUGAAACAUCUGUUCCUAUCCUUCGUCAAUGUUCCUCUUCAUAUGUUAACUUUUCUUAUUGAUUUGUUAGAGCACUUUGUAUAUUGUGAAUAUUAGCUUUUGUGAUCAGAAUUAUGGAAUUGUUGUUGUCUUUAGUUUUGCUUAUCAAGUUUAAAGCCAUUCAGAGAUGUUGUAAAUGUGUAUGUUGUUAAAUUUAUGUCUUAUUUUGUGUUUUCUGAUGCUCAUAUGUUUAGAAUGGUCAAGCAAUCCCAACUUAUGAUUACUUAAAUAUUCUCCCAUAUUUGCUCUUAGCAUUUUUUUUCUUUUCAUGUAACCCUUUGUUCUUUCAGGAAUUUACUUUGCGGUAAGAAAUGGGCUGGCUUCCAGUUUUAUGUUUCCCAAAUGGUGAUUCAGCUGUUCCAUUUCCAUAUUCUCCCUUAUUAGAAAUGACCACUAUAUUAUGUUCUAAAAUAUCUGCGUACUUGUGUCCCUUCCUAUAAUCUCAGUUCAUCUCUUUGAGCUAUCUUUUGAUUCCUUUUUCAAACCACACUGCUUUACUGAACUGUCAUCAUCUUAUACAUUUUUAAUACUCAGCAAGACAAGUUUCUCAAUGCCACUCUUUUUCAGAGUUUUUCUGGUGGUUGUAAGAUGUUUAUUCUUCUGGAUAAACUUUAGAAUCACUCUUUUUGUCCAAGGUAAAAUAUAUCCCACAUUGAGAUCAUACUGAAUAUACAGACUAAUUCAGGAAAAAAUGUAUGUCUUUAUUGCAUUGAGUCUUCUUAUCCAAUAAAAAAGAUAUGAAUUUCCAUGUAUUGAAAUCUUCACUGAGACUUAUUUUUGGCUUUUCACAUGUCCUGCAAAUGUAUUGUUAAAUUUAUUUUUAGGUAUUUUAGGGGAAAUGAUUUUCUAAAGUUUGUAUUUUCUAGCUUGUUAUAAUUUACAUAUGAGAUAGUCAUUGUUGUAUAUUAUUUAUAACUGAUCAUAUUACUGUAUUUGUAUUGUUUUAAUAGUUUUUCUAUUAUUUUGGGUUUUCCUGGAAUACAACCUUAUUAUCUACAAAUUAUGAUUGUUUUGCCUUUUCCAAUGUUCAUAACUGUUUUUAUAUUCUUGUCUGAUUGCUUUGUUCAGCACUUCUAGAAUAAAGUCAUGCAAUACUAAUGAU